Molecule: long non-coding RNA, 394 nt
Organism: Cucurbita maxima (winter squash)
Lineage: Eukaryota; Viridiplantae; Streptophyta; Magnoliopsida; Cucurbitales; Cucurbitaceae
Exons: 2
Source: RefSeq, a predicted model, not a curated record
GCAUCCUCACUAGCACACCGCUCGAUGUUUGGCUCUGAUACCAUUUGUAACAACUCAAGCCCACCGCUCGCAGAUAAUGUCCAUUUUAGCCCGCUACGUAUCGUCAUCCGCCUCACGAUUUUAAAACGCGUCUAUUAGGGAGAGGUUUCCACACCCUUAUAAAGAAUGCUUUGUUCCCAUCUCCAACCGACGUGGGAUCUUACAAUUCAUCUCCCUUCGAGGCCUAACGUCCUCGCUAACACUCAUUCCCUUCUCCAAUCGAUGUGAGAUCCUCAAUCCACCCUCUUCGAAGCCCAACAUCCUUGAUGGCACACUGCCCGAUGUCUCAUUCUAAUAUCAUUUGUAACAGCUCAAGUCCACCGCUAGCAGAUAUUGUCCUCUUCGGGCUUUCUCU